AUACGGAAGGUCCGGGCGUUAUCCGGAUUUAUUGGGUUUAAAGGGAGCGCAGGCGGCACUUCAAGCGUGACGUAAAAUUUCGGGGCUCACCCCCGUUUUGCGUCGCGAACUGUUGUGCUUGAGUAGGCGGCAGGGAGGCGGAAUUCGCGGUGUAGCGGUGAAAUGCUUAGAUAUCGCGAGGAACUCCGAUAGCGCAGGCAGCCUCCCGUUGCUUUACUGACGCUCAUGCUCGAAGGUGCGGGUAUCGAACAGGAUUAGAUACCCUGGUAGUCCGCACUGUAAACGAUGGAUGCCCGCUGUUGGGCCUUUUGGGUUCAGUGGCCAAGAGAAAUCGUUAAGCAUCCCACCUGGGGAGUACGCCGGCAACGGUGAAACUCAAAGGAAUUGACGGGG
Molecule: ribosomal RNA, 393 nt
Filed under: uncultured bacterium
Lineage: Bacteria
Description: partial 16S ribosomal RNA
Rfam family: Bacterial small subunit ribosomal RNA
Source: RNAcentral